GACGAACCGUGCGAACGUUGUUCGGAAUCACUGGGCUUAAAGGGCGCGUAGGCGGGCCACCAAGUCUGGGGUGAAAUCCUUCGGCUUAACCGGAGAAUUGCCUGAGAUACUGGUGGUCUUGAGGGAGGUAGGGGCACGCGGAACUUCCGGUGGAGCGGUGAAAUGCGUUGAUAUCGGAAGGAACGCCGGUGGCGAAAGCGGCGUGCUGGCCCUCUUCUGACGCUGAGGCGCGAAAGCUAGGGUAGCAAACGGG
Molecule: ribosomal RNA, 253 nt
Filed under: uncultured bacterium
Lineage: Bacteria
Description: partial 16S ribosomal RNA
Rfam family: Bacterial small subunit ribosomal RNA
Source: RNAcentral